RNAcentral lists this small RNA (431 nucleotides) under Histoplasma ohiense. Its description in RNAcentral is "hypothetical lncRNA". The record is from RNAcentral. Lineage: Eukaryota; Fungi; Ascomycota; Eurotiomycetes; Onygenales; Ajellomycetaceae.
GUAGCUCUCGCAUCAGCAAGUCCAUCAAUUGUCUCCAAGGUCUGCCGUGUUGACCAUUCCUCACACAUGAUAUCUAACUUGAUGGGCCCUUGAACCCUCGAACUCCCGGAAUCGGAGAGGGGGAGUUUAACAGGGGCAGGAUGCAGGGAGAACACAAGAAGACAUAUCAUGCUGCCGGUGCUCGCCUACCCUCCAAUCAGAGCCAACCCUCGGUGGCAGAAAUCGCCCUCAGGUUUGCAACAGGACCGACCAAGUCGUGGAAAUAGACGUCUUGAUAUUCAACAGACCUAUGUUGUGGCUUGAAAUUUCCUGCAGAAUAAUGCACGAAGCUGCAAGGCAUCGUGACAGGGACAAGCCAUCUCCCUCAAUGAGCAAUUUUUUUGCGCGUACCUGAGUGUAUUAAAUGCAUAAAACCUACUGGAUUAUAUGAG